AUUUCAACAAGUGUAGGACAUAAUUUUUUUUUUCUUUUUGAGAGAGAAAAAGGUAAAAUAUUAUUCGCUUUAUUUAUUUUAUUUAAAAAUGAACUCGGCUGAUUCGCUGAAUGCCUAAAAAUAUGAAGCAACUAGAUUUCGCACUUGCGACUUUAGAUACCAACCACCAAGUUCUUAACCAAUUGCACUAAAAAUGUUUUAAUCCACUAGCUAUUAG
Molecule: long non-coding RNA, 217 nt
Filed under: Ananas comosus (pineapple)
Lineage: Eukaryota; Viridiplantae; Streptophyta; Magnoliopsida; Poales; Bromeliaceae
Description: long non-coding RNA (ACOM_LNC001378)
Source: RNAcentral